UACAGAGGUCUCAAGCGUUGUUCGGAUUCAUUGGGCGUAAAGGGUGCGUAGGCGGCGCGGUAAGUCGGGUGUGAAAUCUCGGAGCUUAACUCCGAAACUGCAUUCGAUACUGCCGUGCUUGAGGACUGGAGAGGAGACUGGAAUUUACGGUGUAGCGGUGAAAUGCGUAGAUAUCGUCAAGAACACCUAUAGCGAAGGCAGCUUACUAGGCUGUAACUGACGCUGAGGCACGAAAGUGUGGGGAUCAAACAGG
Molecule: ribosomal RNA, 253 nt
Filed under: uncultured bacterium
Lineage: Bacteria
Description: partial 16S ribosomal RNA
Rfam family: Bacterial small subunit ribosomal RNA
Source: RNAcentral